AGAGUGAACGCUGGCGGCAGGCCUAACACAUGCAAGUCGAGCGGCAGCGCGGGGGCAACCCUGGCGGCGAGCGGCGGACGGGUGAGGAAUACAUCGGAAUCUACCUUGUUGUGGGGGAUAACGUAGGGAAACUUACGCUAAUACCGCAUAAGACCUGAGGGUGAAAGCGGGGGACCGCAAGGCCUCGCGCGACAAGAUGAGCCGAUGUCCGAUUAGCUAGUUGGUGAGGUAAAGGCUCACCAAGGCGACGAUCGGUAGCUGGUCUGAGAGGAUGAUCAGCCACACUGGAACUGAGACACGGUCCAGACUCCUACGGGAGGCAGCAGUGGGAAUAGUUGGACAAGUGGGGGCAACCCGUGACUCCAGCCAUCGCCGCGUGUGUGAAGAAGGCCUUCGGUUAGUAAGCUACUUUUGUUCGGAAGUAAUCUCACGUAUUUAAUACGU
RNAcentral lists this ribosomal RNA (444 nucleotides) under uncultured soil bacterium. RNAcentral's name for it is "bacterial SSU rRNA". It matches the Rfam family "Bacterial small subunit ribosomal RNA", at positions 26 to 466 of the family's 1533-position model. The record is from RNAcentral.